UACGUAGGGCGCAAGCGUUAUCCGGAAUUAUUGGGCGUAAAGAGCUUGUAGGCGGUUUGUCGCGUCUGCCGUGAAAAUUCGAGGCUCAACCUCGAACUUGCGGUGGGUACGGGCAGACUAGAGUGUGGUAGGGGAGACUGGAAUUCCUGGUGUAGCGGUGAAAUGCGCAGAUAUCAGGAGGAACACCGAUGGCGAAGGCAGGUCUCUGGGCCACUACUGACGCUGAGAAGCGAAAGCAUGGGGAGCGAACAGG
This 253-nucleotide ribosomal RNA is filed under the name uncultured bacterium. Its description in RNAcentral is "partial 16S ribosomal RNA". It matches the Rfam family "Bacterial small subunit ribosomal RNA", at positions 524 to 776 of the family's 1533-position model. The record is from RNAcentral.